Phascolarctos cinereus (koala) is the source of this 715-nucleotide non-coding RNA. The record is from RefSeq and is a predicted model, not a curated record. NCBI's taxonomy places the organism in Eukaryota, Metazoa, Chordata, Mammalia, Diprotodontia, Phascolarctidae.
GACUGGCUAGGGAGGUCUGUAAUGAGGGAAGGACGACUCCCCCAUAGGAAAGCUGGGGGGAGGCUGCCCUUCUGGAACUCCUUGCUGAUUGAGCCCUGUCCUGCCUCCCUGUGGGGAGGGGCCCCCAAGUCCUCUCCUUCUGGCCUAAAGGUGGGGGGAGGCAUCAUUAAGAGAUUACACUGCGGUCUGGUCUUUUUAGAGCUCACACAGCUCGCUCCUCAAAGCAUCUCUGUGAGGUCAGGGAUGCUCAGGGCCCCACCCAGAGCUUGUACCUUGACCAGACUCCCUUCUGUAACAUCCCUGAGCAGGAGUCUUGACUUGGAGAUGUCCAGUGAGGAAGGACCCAGCAUCUGUCAAGGCAACUACUUUUGGACAGUUCUGAGAAGAAAUGAUGCAGAGAGAAAUCAACAGAGCCAGGAAAACAGUACCCACCAUGAUGACAACAGCACAAUGAAAAGAAUGAAAACUCCAAAUUGAACACUGUGUGAUUAUAACGAUCAUGCUUAGCUCCAGAGAAGAGAUGAACAAACCAGGGAGUGAAGAGCCUACUCUGUGCCUGGCCCUUGGCUGUGCCCUGGGGAGACAAAGGGCAGAGGUGCCCUUCUCUUGGCACAGGUGGCCCAGCACUCACACUCUCAGCCUUGCUUGAUGUAUCACUUUGGCUGAGGCCAUUUUUUUCUUCUUUUUCUUUUGUGUAAAGGGCUGUUUUAGGGGU